Molecule: ribosomal RNA, 1485 nt
Filed under: Lactiplantibacillus plantarum
Lineage: Bacteria; Bacillati; Bacillota; Bacilli; Lactobacillales; Lactobacillaceae
Description: Lactobacillus plantarum 16S ribosomal RNA
Rfam family: Bacterial small subunit ribosomal RNA
Source: RNAcentral
AUCAUGGCUCAGGACGNACGCUGGCGGCGUGCNUNAUACAUGCAAGUCGAACGAACUCUGGUAUUGAUUGGUGCUUGCAUCAUGAUUUACAUUUGAGUGAGUGGCGAACUGGUGAGUAACACGUGGGAAACCUGCCCAGAAGCGGGGGAUAACACCUGGAAACAGAUGCUAAUACCGCAUAACAACUUGGACCGCAUGGUCCGAGCUUGAAAGAUGGCUUCGGCUAUCACUUUUGGAUGGUCCCGCGGCGUAUUAGCUAGAUGGUGGGGUAACGGCUCACCAUGGCAAUGAUACGUAGCCGACCUGAGAGGGUAAUCGGCCACAUUGGGACUGAGACACGGCCCAAACUCCUACGGGAGGCAGCAGUAGGGAAUCUUCCACAAUGGACGAAAGUCUGAUGGAGCAACGCCGCGUGAGUGAAGAAGGGUUUCGGCUCGUAAAACUCUGUUGUUAAAGAAGAACAUAUCUGAGAGUAACUGUUCAGGUAUUGACGGUAUUUAACCAGAAAGCCACGGCUCACUACGUGCCAGCAGCCGCGGUAAUACGUAGGUGGCAAGCGUUGUCCGGAUUUAUUGGGCGUAAAGCGAGCGCAGGCGGUUUUUUAAGUCUGAUGUGAAAGCCUUCGGCUCAACCGAAGAAGUGCAUCGGAAACUGGGAAACUUGAGUGCAGAAGAGGACAGUGGAACUCCAUGUGUAGCGGUGAAAUGCGUAGAUAUAUGGAAGAACACCAGUGGCGAAGGCGGCUGUCUGGUCUGUAACUGACGCUGAGGCUCGAAAGUAUGGGUAGCAAACAGGAUUAGAUACCCUGGUAGUCCAUACCGUAAACGAUGAAUGCUAAGUGUUGGAGGGUUUCCGCCCUUCAGUGCUGCAGCUAACGCAUUAAGCAUUCCGCCUGGGGAGUACGGCCGCAAGGCUGAAACUCAAAGGAAUUGACGGGGGCCCGCACAAGCGGUGGAGCAUGUGGUUUAAUUCGAAGCUACGCGAAGAACCUUACCAGGUCUUGACAUACUAUGCAAAUCUAAGAGAUUAGACGUUCCCUUCGGGGACAUGGAUACAGGUGGUGCAUGGUUGUCGUCAGCUCGUGUCGUGAGAUGUUGGGUUAAGUCCCGCAACGAGCGCAACCCUUAUUAUCAGUUGCCAGCAUUAAGUUGGGCACUCUGGUGAGACUGCCGGUGACAAACCGGAGGAAGGUGGGGAUGACGUCAAAUCAUCAUGCCCCUUAUGACCUGGGCUACACACGUGCUACAAUGGAUGGUACAACGAGUUGCGAACUCGCGAGAGUAAGCUAAUCUCUUAAAGCCAUUCUCAGUUCGGAUUGUAGGCUGCAACUCGCCUACAUGAAGUCGGAAUCGCUAGUAAUCGCGGAUCAGCAUGCCGCGGUGAAUACGUUCCCGGGCCUUGUACACACCGCCCGUCACACCAUGAGAGUUUGUAACACCCAAAGUCGGUGGGGUAACCAUUUUAGGAACUAGCCGCCUAAGGUGG